GGCUGAUCCGAAGGUAGCAAGUUAUCUCAAUUGAUUGUUCAUAGUCAGUUACAGAUGGAACUCCUUGUUCUACUCUUUCCCCCUUCUCGCUACUGCACUUGACUAAAAA
Y RNA from Callithrix jacchus (white-tufted-ear marmoset), 109 nucleotides. It matches the Rfam family "Y RNA". From Rfam's summary of the family: Y RNAs are components of the Ro ribonucleoprotein particle (Ro RNP), in association with Ro60 and La proteins. The Y RNAs and Ro60 and La proteins are well conserved, but the function of the Ro RNP is not known. NCBI's taxonomy places the organism in Eukaryota, Metazoa, Chordata, Mammalia, Primates, Cebidae. The record is from Ensembl.